RNAcentral lists this ribosomal RNA (475 nucleotides) under Microdochium sp. E9023a. Its description in RNAcentral is "eukaryotic LSU rRNA". The stretch from base 116 to 269 matches the Rfam family "5.8S ribosomal RNA". The record is from RNAcentral. Lineage: Eukaryota; Fungi; Ascomycota; Sordariomycetes; Xylariales; Microdochiaceae.
AACCAUGUGACUUACCACUGUUGCCUCGGUGGUUGGUCUUCGGACUGACCACCGGUGGACUACUAAACUCUUGUUAAUUUUUGGCAUUCUGAAUCAUAACUAAGAAAUAAGUUAAAACUUUCAACAACGGAUCUCUUGGUUCUGGCAUCGAUGAAGAACGCAGCGAAAUGCGAUAAGUAAUGUGAAUUGCAGAAUUCAGUGAAUCAUCGAAUCUUUGAACGCACAUUGCGCCCAUUAGUAUUCUAGUGGGCAUGCCUGUUCGAGCGUCAUUUCAACCCUUAAGCCUAGCUUAGUGUUGGGAGACUGCCUAAUACGCAGCUCCUCAAAACCAGUGGCGGAGUCUGUUCGUGCUCUGAGCGUAGUAAUUCUUUAUCUCGCUUCUGUAAGCCGGUCAGACGACAGCCAUAAACCGCACCCUUCGGGGGCACUUUUUAAUGGUUGACCUCGGAUCAGGUAGGAAUACCCGCUGAACUUA